Molecule: ribosomal RNA, 404 nt
Filed under: uncultured bacterium
Lineage: Bacteria
Description: partial 16S ribosomal RNA
Rfam family: Bacterial small subunit ribosomal RNA
Source: RNAcentral
AUUGAACGCUGGCGGCAGGCCUAACACAUGCAAGUCGAGCGAGCGGCGGACGGGUGAGUAAUGCCUGGGAAUUGCCCAGUCGAGGGGGAUAACAGUUGGAAAUGACUGCUAAUACCGCAUACGAUUGGACGGCCCAGGUUGGAUUAGCUAGUCGGUGAGGUAAUGGCGCACCAAGGCGACGCUCCCUAGCUGGUCUGAGAGGAUGAUCAGCCACACUGGAACUGAGACACGGUCCAGACUCCUACGUGAGGCAGCAGUGGGGAAUAUUGGCCAAUGGGGGAAACCCUGAUGCAGCCAUGCCGAGUGUGUGAAGAAGGCGUUCGGAUUGUAAAGCACUGUCAGCGAGGAGGCGUUACUCGCAGAAGAAGCACCGGCUAACUCCGUGCCAGCGGCCGCGGUAAUAC